AAGGUUAAAACUCAAUAUGAAUUGAACGGGGGCCCGCACAAGCGGUGGAAGCACGUGGUUUAAUUCGAUGCAACGCGAAGAACCUUACCUACUCUUGACAUCCACGGAAUUCGGCAGAGAUGCCUUAGUGCCUUCGGGAACCGUGAGACAGGUGCUGCAUGGCUGUCGUCAGCUCGUGUUGUGAAAUGUUGGGUUAAGUCCCGCAACGAGCGCAACCCUUAUCCUUUGUUGCCAGCGAUUCGGUCGGGAACUCAAAGGAGACUGCCGGUGAUAAACCGGAGGAAGGUGGGGAUGACGUCAAGUCAUCAUGGCCCUUACGAGUAGGGCUACACACGUGCUACAAUGGCGCAUACAAAGAGAAGCGACCUCGCGAGAGCAAGCGGACCUCACAAAGUGCGUCGUAGUCCGGAUCGGAGUCUGCAACUCGACUCCGUGAAGUCGGAAUCGCUAGUAAUCGUGGAUCAGAAUGCCACGGUGAAUACGUUCCCGGGCCUUGUACACACCGCCC
Molecule: ribosomal RNA, 508 nt
Filed under: uncultured bacterium
Lineage: Bacteria
Description: bacterial SSU rRNA
Rfam family: Bacterial small subunit ribosomal RNA
Source: RNAcentral